UACGGAGGGUGCAAGCGUUAUCCGGAUUCACUGGGUUUAAAGGGAGCGUAGGUGGGCUUGUAAGUCAGUGGUGAAAUCUCCGGGCUUAACCCGGAAACUGCCAUUGAUACUAUAGGUCUUGAAUAUUGUGGAGGUUAGCGGAAUAUGUCAUGUAGCGGUGAAAUGCUUAGAUAUGACAUAGAACACCAAUUGCGAAGGCAGCUGGCUACACAUAUAUUGACACUGAGGCUCGAAAGCGUGGGGAUCAAACAGG
This 253-nucleotide ribosomal RNA is filed under the name uncultured bacterium. RNAcentral's name for it is "partial 16S ribosomal RNA". It matches the Rfam family "Bacterial small subunit ribosomal RNA", at positions 524 to 776 of the family's 1533-position model. The record is from RNAcentral.